This 254-nucleotide ribosomal RNA is filed under the name uncultured bacterium. RNAcentral describes it as "partial 16S ribosomal RNA". It matches the Rfam family "Bacterial small subunit ribosomal RNA", at positions 524 to 776 of the family's 1533-position model. The record is from RNAcentral.
UACAGAGGUCUCAAGCGUUGUUCGGAUUCAUUGGGCGUAAAGGGUGCGUAGGCGGCGCGGUAAGUCGGGUGUGAAAUCUCGGAGCUUAACUCCGAAACUGCAUUCGAUACUGCCGUGCUUGAGGACUGGAGAGGAGACUGGAAUUUACGGUGUAGCAGUGAAAUGCGUAGAUAUCGUAAGGAAGACCAGUGGACGAAGGCGGGUCUCUGGACAGUUCCUGACGCUGAGGCACGAAGGCCAGGGGAGCAAACGGG